AUGCCCUAAACUUCUGAGUAAGGAAAAUAAUGAUUCGGGGUUACACCUGAAUCCUCACUGCUAAUGUGAGACAAAUUUUUGAGUGGGUAAAGGUUGCCCCUAAGGUAACCCACCUACUUUGCAAGAUGCCUGGGAGUUGCGAUCUGUUCA
Molecule: small nuclear RNA, 150 nt
Filed under: Carlito syrichta (Philippine tarsier)
Lineage: Eukaryota; Metazoa; Chordata; Mammalia; Primates; Tarsiidae
Description: U12 minor spliceosomal RNA (ENSTSYG00000028750.1)
Rfam family: U12 minor spliceosomal RNA
About the family: Although the U12 sequence is very divergent from that of U2, the two are functionally analogous.
Source: Rfam by way of RNAcentral